Non-coding RNA from Malus domestica (apple), 1774 nucleotides. The record is from RefSeq and is a predicted model, not a curated record. Lineage: Eukaryota; Viridiplantae; Streptophyta; Magnoliopsida; Rosales; Rosaceae.
CGUCACUAAAACCCUCUUUGUUCAUUGCCUGAAAGGUGAAAAACCCUCCGUCGUUGCCAACUUGCCAUUUCUUUUCCCACACUCCUUUCACCCGGACAAGCAAAACUAAUUUGGUACAAAGUCCAUGGAGGUUUCCACCGCCACCCUCCAACCGUCUUGUUCUUUCCCACUCAGAGCCCCUAGACCCGCCACCAGAGAACGCGUCUCUUCUCUCUCCUCCAUCAGAUCCUCCCCUAAAUCUAUCUCCCUAUCUUAUAGCAUCACCAAAGGUUGUGACUUAGUAGUUAGAGAACCAGUUAAGUUACGGUGGUCCUCUGUUGUUGCUGCUACGGUUGGUGAUACAACUGCAGUGCCAAAUAGUUGCUCUAGUGGAGAAGAGUUGCCCGUUUCUGAUUCUUCUAAUCCCAUAUCGGUGGAAGAUCAGCCCAGUGGAAAUGGUGAGAAAGGGGAAGAGAAAGGUGGGAUUGGGGGAUUGGAUGACCACAAGAUGACCCGAAUAUGUGACAAGCUUAUUGAGGUUUUCUUGGUUGACAAGCCCACUCCAACUGACUGGAGAAGAUUAUUAGCUUUCAGUAAGGAAUGGGACGAUAUCCGGCCUCAUUUCUAUACACGGUGUCAGGACCGUGCAGAUGCUGAGGAUGAUCCUGGAAUGAAGCAUAAGCUACUGCGGCUUGGACGGAAAUUGAAAGAGAUUGAUGAAGAUGUGCAAGGACACAAUGAACUUCUUAAAGUCGUUAGAGGGGCUCAAUCAGAAAUUAGUGAAAUUGUUUCCAGACGCCGCAAAGAUUUCACUCAAGAAUUUUUUGUGCAUCUCCACACUGUUGCUGAAUCCUAUUACAACAAUCCGACAGAGCAAACUGCUUUGGCAAGUAUUGGAAAUAUGUGCUUGGCUGCUGUGCAAGCAUAUGAUUCUGCAACCGAAAGCAUUGAAGCACUGAAUGCGGCAGAGCUGAAAUUUCAAGAUAUUAUCGACUCUCCAACUGUUGAUGCGGCUUGUAGGAAGAUAGAUCACUUGGCUGAGAAAAAUCAACUCGACUCAGCAUUGGUGAUGAUGAUCACAAAAGCAUGGUCAGCUGCCAAAGAGUCGAGCAUGACGAAGGAUGAGGUAAAGGACGUACUUUAUCAUUUGUACGUGACCAAGAGGUAAUCUUCAGAGACUCAUGCCAAAAGAAAUUCGGAUACUUAAGUAUCUUCUCACAAUUGAGGAUCCUGAGGAGCGUCUGGCCGCCUUACACGAUGCAUUUACCCCAGGAGAGGAACUUGAAGGGACGGAUGUAGAUAACCUUUUCACGACCCCGGUGCAGCUUCACACCUGGAUGAAGGCUAUUGUGGACGCUUACCAUUUCAGCCAGGAAGGCACUCUAAUAAGGGAAGCAAGAGACCUCAUGAAUCCAAAGAUCAUUCAAAAAAUGGAGGAGCUGAAGAAGUUAGUUGAAAACAAGUUCCUGUGACAAAGAUCAAUUAACUCAUCUCCUCGACCGACUAUUUAUCUCAGAUCAACUUGGGAUAUUCAAAAGAACCUUAUCCAUAUUCUGAAGUUUCCAGUGGCAUGAGCUGCAACGCUUGGAACUUCAAACAUCGAAUUGAUCUGUCGGGCUUAUAGGUUUAAAAAAUUUGAGUUAUUUCUCGGAUUUUUGUAGUCUGAUGUACACCAAUCCCUUUUUCAUUGUAAACUACACAGCUUUGUAAAAUUAUUGGCUCGUAAGUUUGAAAAUUAAUCCAUUGUAAGUCUCUCAUCCUCUGUGUGUUGAAAUAAUUAACAGGAAACUUUACG